RNAcentral lists this ribosomal RNA (301 nucleotides) under uncultured bacterium. RNAcentral describes it as "partial 16S ribosomal RNA". It matches the Rfam family "Bacterial small subunit ribosomal RNA", at positions 509 to 807 of the family's 1533-position model. The record is from RNAcentral.
CAGUAGCCGCGGUAAUACGAAGGGGGCUAGCGUUGCUCGGAAUGACUGGGCGUAAAGGGCGCGUAGGCGGCGGCCAAAGUCAGGCGUGAAAUUCCCGGGCUCAACCUGGGGGCUGCGUUUGAUACUUGGUUGCUUGAGUGGGGAAGAGGGUCGUGGAAUUCCCAGUGUAGAGGUGAAAUUCGUAGACAUUGGGAAGAACACCGGUGGCGAAGGCGGCGACCUGGUCCUUUACUGACGCUGAGGCGCGAAAGCGUGGGGAGCAAACAGGAUUAGAUACCCCUGUAGUCCCUGUCUCUUAUAC